AGUGUGUUGCUGGUGGUGUCGUGGCUGCGACUCAGCGCACCCAGGCCACUCUGUAUGCGACGCACGGAGCCCGCCAGGCCGCCCUGCCUCUCAGCCAGGCCGCCUUGCCGCUCCCGCAGAGCCUCCAGCAUGGUGGCCAAUUUCUCCAGCAAGGUCACCACGGUGACUGCGUGCACCGGACCCCCUGCGGGCGUCUCAGGCACAGGUCCGGGCUCCAGUGCGCUCUCCCCCAUGAUCUCUGACCACCGGGCCUGCUCUCCCUGAGACCGAUGGCUGCGAUCUGGGCUGGGGCUGCCUUUCCCCGCCUCCUCCCCUAGUUCAGGCCGUGACUCAGCCGGGCGGGAGUUGGCAUCUUCCGCGGUGGGAAAAGGAGGAGGCCGAGCAAGGGGGCGGAAUGUCCAAAGGGGGCUCUUUCGAAGGCUCCGCCCCGGGAUCUGCGAGUAAGACAGUCCUGCCCAGAGGCACCUCUUUUCUGAGUUUGUGCUCCUUUUCCCCCAUUUUCCUGGUGGGCUUCUUUCAGGCCUGUGUUCUUCACAGCAAAAGGCAAACCACUGAAAAUUUCAUUUAUCUAUCUAGUGAUCAGAGAAGGGGGUGGGGGUGGAAGGCAGGGGUGUUAAAGGCAUAGCCUAAGCCGUCAAAGCUGCUGAGCCCCAACGCUGGGCGGAGGCCUGUAAAGUUUGGAAUGUUCUGCCUCAGACCCAAGACUGCCUAGGCCCAAGGCAGGGCUUUGUGUCUAGGCGGGCUGGGCGGGGCAUCCUCUGAUAUUUUCCAGGUUUAGCCUCUGGCUUCGUUUAUUGCUAUUUCUUCCUACUGGACUGCGUUGUUCUUCUUUGGAUUCCUGGAGGAUAGCUCAGCCAUGAGUUAGAAUAAGUACUGGUUUGUCCGUUUUAAUGGAGAUUGGCUGUGGUUCCUGCGUAAUGCCUUCAAUCCCGUCUCCGAAAUUGGUGAGUGUGAGGAUUUGAAAUGCUGCAGUAGCUAGAUAUGGUGAUACAUAUUGAGGUAGGAAAAUCACCAAUUGGAGACCAUGAUGAACUACAUAGUGAGUGUUAGAGUGGAAAAUCACUACAUAAAGGUUGAUUCCU
This 1082-nucleotide long non-coding RNA is filed under the name Mus musculus (house mouse). Its description in RNAcentral is "long non-coding RNA chr7:105481926-105483008". The record is from RNAcentral. Lineage: Eukaryota; Metazoa; Chordata; Mammalia; Rodentia; Muridae.